AUUAAAAGAAUUGUACACUAGGCUCUUGAUCUUUUGCUUGCUUUAGAUAAUGAUGGUAUCUUUCUUUUGCCAACUGGAGGACGAUACCAAUCUGUUUGAUUACAAUGUCCUAGAGCGUGUCAAUGACUUUGUAGCUGCUGCAUUGUCGGAGAACCUCUUGGAACACAGCUCAGACACCUUCCAUAGUAACUUGAUUUCUCUUUACAAUUACCAUAGAGAAUUUUGUCCUUUUAGGCAUGCUAUGCAUCUAUUGUGCUUUGAGUUAGUUAUCUGUAAAUACCAUAGGAUAUUGUCAGAUCUAUAUGUGAAUAUCCAGCUUUCUCAUAUACUAGCUAGUGCUACAAUGAAGCAGGUUUUAAGCGUGUAUA
Ipomoea triloba (trilobed morning glory) is the source of this 368-nucleotide long non-coding RNA. RefSeq lists it as uncharacterized. Lineage: Eukaryota; Viridiplantae; Streptophyta; Magnoliopsida; Solanales; Convolvulaceae. The transcript is spliced from 2 exons. The record is from RefSeq and is a predicted model, not a curated record.